AUGGAGUUUAUAGAUAAUCCUGAUUCCUUGUGUGCAACUAUUCUGAGGGCCAAGUACUACCCUGAUGGCAAUUUGCUGAAGUCUAAGCCAAAGCGUGGCGCUUCUUUCACCUGGCAGAGCAUUAUGGCAGGUAUAACUACUCUGAAACGUGGCUAUAUUUGGUGAGUGGGUAAUGGACAUAACAUCAAUAUCUGGGAAGAUGCCUGGAUCCCAAACUGUGUCACUAGGAAGAUUGUGACCCCUAGGGGGAGCCAUUUGCUAUCAAAAGUGAGUGACCUGAUUGACCCUGCUUCCAACAAUUGGGACGAGGAACUGAUUAGACAAACUAUGUGGUCCAUUGACGCACAACGAAUUCUUUCAAUCCCACUUUCGCAAUAUGAUAUGACAGAUUUCAUUGCCUGGAGUUACACAAAAAAUGGUAUGUUCUCGGUAAGGUCUGCUUACUCGGUGGAAUGGAAUUAUCAGUAUGAGAGUAGACUCAAAUAUUCUAAUGGGAUGGGGCGAAGCAUACCAAAUCCUAUUUGGUGUCAGAUAUGGAAGUUAGCCUGCCCAGCAAAGGUAAAAAAAUUUAUAUGGCGUACAUUACAUGGCACUCUCCCAUGCCGGGUAACACUCGCUAAUAGACACAUGAAGGUCUCGCCCUCUUGCCCGACUUGCUCUCAGGGUUUAGAAGAUACGAAACACAUGCUUUUCCUCUGUAGUAAAGCAAAGGAGGUUUGGAAGAGACUAGGGAUGGAUGUGAUAAUU
Molecule: ribosomal RNA, 747 nt
Filed under: Triticum aestivum (bread wheat)
Lineage: Eukaryota; Viridiplantae; Streptophyta; Magnoliopsida; Poales; Poaceae
Description: partial small subunit ribosomal RNA
Source: RNAcentral